AUUGAACGCUGGCGGCAGGCUUAACACAUGCAAGUCGAACGAUGAUUUCCCAGCUUGCUGGGAAUGAUUAGUGGCGGACGGGUGAGUAACAUUUAGGAAUCUGCCUAGUAGUGGGGGAUAGCUCGGGGAAACUCGAAUUAAUACCGCAUACGACCUACGGGUGAAAGGGGGCGCAAGCUCUUGCUAUUAGAUGAGCCUAAAUCAGAUUAGCUAGUUGGUGGGGUAAAGGCCCACCAAGGCGACGAUCUGUAACUGGUCUGAGAGGAUGAUCAGUCACACCGGAACUGAGACACGGUCCGGACUCCUACGGGAGGCAGCAGUGGGGAAUAUUGGACAAUGGGGGCAACCCUGAUCCAGCCAUGCCGCGUGUGUGAAGAAGGCCUUUUGGUUGUAAAGCACUUUAAGCAGGGAGGAGAGGCUAAUGGUUAAUACCCAUUAGAUUAGACGUUACCUGCAGAAUAAGCACCGGCUAACUCUGUGCCAGCAGCCGCGGUAAUACAGAGGGUGCGAGCGUUAAUCGGAAUUACUGGGCGUAAAGCGAGUGUAGGUGGCUCAUUAAGUCACAUGUGAAAUCCCCGGGCUUAACCUGGGAACUGCAUGUGAUACUGGUGGUGCUAGAAUAUGUGAGAGGGAAGUAGAAUUCCAGGUGUAGCGGUGAAAUGCGUAGAGAUCUGGAGGAAUACCGAUGGCGAAGGCAGCUUCCUGGCAUAAUAUUGACACUGAGAUUCGAAAGCGUGGGUAGCAAACAGGAUUAGAUACCCUGGUAGUCCACGCCGUAAACGAUGUCUACUAGCCGUUGGGGUCCUUGAGACUUUAGUGGCGCAGUUAACGCGAUAAGUAGACCGCCUGGGGAGUACGGCCGCAAGGUUAAAACUCAAAUGAAUUGACGGGGGCCCGCACAAGCGGUGGAGCAUGUGGUUUAAUUCGAUGCAACGCGAAGAACCUUACCUGGUCUUGACAUAGUGAGAAUCCUGCAGAGAUGCGGGAGUGCCUUCGGGAAUUCACAUACAGGUGCUGCAUGGCUGUCGUCAGCUCGUGUCGUGAGAUGUUGGGUUAAGUCCCGCAACGAGCGCAACCCUUUUCCUUAUUUGCCAGCGGGUUAAGCCGGGAACUUUAAGGAUACUGCCAGUGACAAACUGGAGGAAGGCGGGGACGACGUCAAGUCAUCAUGGCCCUUACGACCAGGGCUACACACGUGCUACAAUGGUAGGUACAGAGGGUUGCUACACAGCGAUGUGAUGCUAAUCUCAAGAAGCCUAUCGUAGUCCGGAUUGGAGUCUGCAACUCGACUCCAUGAAGUCGGAAUCGCUAGUAAUCGCAGAUCAGAAUGCUGCGGUGAAUACGUUCCCGGGCCU
This 1355-nucleotide ribosomal RNA is filed under the name uncultured bacterium. Its description in RNAcentral is "bacterial SSU rRNA". It matches the Rfam family "Bacterial small subunit ribosomal RNA", at positions 28 to 1381 of the family's 1533-position model. The record is from RNAcentral.